AGUUAGUGGCGGACGGGUGAGUAACGCGUGGAAAACCUGCCGUAUACUGGGGGAUAACACUUAGAAAUAGGUGCUAAUACCGCAUAAGCGCACAGCUUCGCAUGAAGCGGUGUGAAAAACUCUGGUGGUAUACGAUGGUUCCGCGUCUGAUUAGCUAGUUGGUGGGGUAAUGGCCUACCAAGGCAACGACCAGUAGCCGGCCUGAGAGGGUGAACGGCCACAUUGGGACUGAGACACGGCCCAAACUCCUACGGGAGGCAGCAG
This 264-nucleotide ribosomal RNA is filed under the name uncultured bacterium. Its description in RNAcentral is "partial 16S ribosomal RNA". It matches the Rfam family "Bacterial small subunit ribosomal RNA", at positions 90 to 354 of the family's 1533-position model. The record is from RNAcentral.